CUGGUAAGGGCGUAUGGUGGAUGCCUUGGUAGACAGGACCGAUGAAGGACGUGACGGGCUGCGAUAUGCCUCGGGGAGCUGCCGAGUGGGCUUUGAUCCGAGGAUUUCCGAAUGGGGAGACCCGGCCACUGUUAUGGGUGGUCACCACAGUUUUUGUGGGGGGUACGCAGGGAAGUGAAACAUCUCAGUACCUGCAGGAAAGGAUACUCCGUGAGUAGUGGCGAGCGAAAGCGGAUCAGGCUAAACCGAGUACGUGUGAUAACCGUCAGGUGUUGCGUAUUCGGGGUCGUGGGAUUGACUGUUCAGCCUCUGACGGGGUUGAGAAGAGUGAUAAAAUGUCGUGUUAUGUGAAUGGGAUUGAAUUCCCAGCCGUAGAGGGUGAUGGCCCCGUAGCAGGUUGCGCGAUGUCUUUUUAUGUUUAUUCCCAAGUAGCGCGGGCCUCGUGGAAUCCCGCGUGAAUCUGCCCAGACCGUUGGGUAAGCCUAAGUAUUCCUGUCUGACCGAUAGUGUACUAGUACCGUGAGGGAAAGGUGAAAAGCACCCCGGGAGGGGAGUGAAAUAGUUCCUGAAACCGUGCGCUUACAAUCCGUCGGAGCCUUCUUUGUGGGGUGACGGCGUGCCUAUCGAAAAAUGAGUCUGCGAGUCAGUGGUAUGUGGCGAGGCUAACCCGGGUGGGGGAGCCGUAGCGAAAGCGAGUUUUAAAAGGCGUUUUAGUCGCAUGUCCUGGACCCGAAGCGGGAUGAUCUAGCCCUGAGCAGGUUGAAGCGCGGGUAAGACCGUGUGGAGGACCGAACCCACCUAGGUUGAAAACUGGGGGGAUGACUUGGGGUUAGGGGUGAAAGGCCAAUCAAAUUCCGUGAUAGCUGGUUCUCUCCGAAAUGCAUUUAGGUGCAGCGUCAUGUUAUUGCUUGCAGGGGGUAGAGCUACUGGAUGCUUGCGGGCCCAUACCGGGUACUAAUAGCAGCCAAACUCCGAAUACCUGUUAGGUUUAUCAUGGCAGUGAGUCGGCGGGGGAUAAGCUCCGUCGUCAAAAGGGAAACAGCCCUGAUCGUCGUCUAAGGUCCCGAAGCGCGUGCUAAGUGGGAAAGGAUGUGGAGUCGCAUAGACAGCCAGGAGGUUGGCUCAGAAGCAGCCAUCCUUGAAAGAGUGCGUAACAGCUCACUGGUCUAGUGGUUCCGCGCCGACAAUGUAGCGGGGCUUAAGCACGCCACCGAAGACGCGACUGCAUGAUUUAGUUCAUGUGGGGUAGGAGAGCGUCCUGUAUGGGGUGAAGCGGCAGUGUGAACUUGUCGUGGACUAUACGGGAGUGAGAAUGCAGACAUGAGUAGCGAGAGACAGGUGUGAAUCCUGUCCGCUGAAUGACUAAGGGUUCCGGGGCCACGUUCGUCGUCCCCGGGUGAGUCGAGUCCUAAGGCGAGGCCGACAGGCGUAGUCGAAUGGAUGAACGGGUUGAUAUUCCCGUACCGGUGUUACACCGUUCGAACUGAAUCUGAGAGUACUAACCUUCGUUAUUCUGGUUGAUUAUCUUUCGGGGUUUUCUUCUGGUUUAGUGUUGGGACUGUAUCGGUAGUAGGUUAGCGUGGGAGUGACGCGGGUAGGUAGCCGGCUGCGGAGGUGGUUUUCCGUGGCUAAGCGUGUGGGCUGUCCUNNNNNNNNNNNNNNNNNNNNNNNNNNNNNNNNNNNNNNNNNUGUGAUUCCGCUCGUACCCUAAACCGACACUGGUGGUCUGGUAGAGUAUACCAAAGCGAUCGGGCGAAUCCUGGCCAAGGAACUCGGCAAAUUACUCCCGUGCCUUCGGCAUAAGGGAGACCCCUGAUGGUGAUAUGGUUUCACAUUGUUGAGCUGUUGGGGGUGGCACAAGCUAGGGGGUAGCGACUGUUUACCAAAAACACAGGAGCGUGCGAAGGCGUAAGCCGCUGUAUACGCUCUGACGCCUGCCCGGUGCCGGAAGGUUAAGAGGAUCCGUUAGCUUCGGUGAAGCGGUGAAUUUAAGCCCCGGUAAACGGCGGUGGUAACUAUAACCAUCCUAAGGUAGCGAAAUUCCUUGUCGGGUAAGUUCCGACCUGCACGAAUGGCGUAACGACUUCCCCACUGUCUCGGCCAGGAGCCCGGCGAAAUUGCAGUACGAGUAAAGAUGCUCGUUAAGCGCAGAAGGACGAAAAGACCCCGGGACCUUUACUAUACCUUGGUAUUGUCGUUAGGUGUGGAUCGUGUAGCAUAGGCGGGAGGCUGUGAAGCGUGGGCGCUAGCUUGCGUGGAGUCGAUCAGUGAAAUACCGCUCUUUCCAUAUCUGGCGUCUAACCUCGACACGUUAUCCGUGUUAGGGACAGUGCCUGGCGGGUAGUUUAACUGGGGCGGUUGCCUCCUAAAGAGUAACGGAGGCGCUCAAUGGUCCGCUCAGCCCGGUUGGCAAUCGGGUGUUGAGUGUAAUCGCACAAGCGGGCUUGACUGUGAGACUGACGGGUCGAGCAGGGACGAAAGUCGGAGAUAGUGAUCCGGUGCCGGCGUACGGACGUGGCAUCGCUCAACGGAUAAAAGGUACCCCGGGGAUAACAGGCUGAUCAUUCCCAAGAGUCCAUAUCGACGGGAUGGUUUGGCACCUCGAUGUCGGCUCGUCGCAUCCUGGGGCUGGAGCAGGUCCCAAGGGUUCGGCUGUUCGCCGAUUAAAGCGGCACGCGAGCUGGGUUCAGAACGUCGUGAGACAGUUUGGUCUCUAUCCUCUGCGCUCGUUGGAAUGUUGAGGAGACCUGCCCAUAGUACGAGAGGACCUGGGUGGACGAACCUCUGGUAUGCCGGUCGUCACGCCAGUGGCGCUGCCGGUUAGCUACGUUUGGAAGGGAUAACCGCUGAAAGCAUCUAAGCGGGAAGCCUGCUCCAAGAUUAGCAUUCCUUGCACUUUGUGUGUGAGCCCCCAUGUAGAACACGUGGUUGAUAGGCUGGAUGUGGAAGCCCUGUAAGGGGUGGAGCUGACCAGUACUAAUGGGCGAUUGUGA
RNAcentral lists this ribosomal RNA (2993 nucleotides) under Gardnerella vaginalis. RNAcentral describes it as "bacterial LSU rRNA". It matches the Rfam family "Bacterial large subunit ribosomal RNA". The record is from RNAcentral. Lineage: Bacteria; Bacillati; Actinomycetota; Actinomycetes; Bifidobacteriales; Bifidobacteriaceae.